GCUGCUGAUCGGGCCCCGCUUCGCGUGACUCGGCGCGCCGGAGCGGGGGCGGACUGCGGCUUCCUGCCCUGUCUGGCUCUAGCCGCAGCGCCAGGGCGGCCGGAGCCGGCUCCUGAGGAGUGGCUGCACCCCGGGGCCUCUCCUUGGCCUGGCUGGGCCGUCCGAGGCGGGGCUGCCCGGUCCAUCCCUGCCGCUGGCCGAGCGCCAGCCCCGAGGACCGUUGCGCCAGAUCCCGGGAUUCGUGAUUCCUAUCUGGGGACCCCUGCAGCUCACAUCCACUUAGUAGGCCCUUUGCGUGGGGUUAGAGCGGCCAGAUGUCGGAGGCUAUGGCAAUGAACCUUCUGGAGGAUUGGUGUCGCGGGAUGGAAGUGGACAUCCACAGGUCCCUGUUGGUCACGGGCAUCCCAGAGGACUGUGGACAGGCAGAAAUCGAGGAGACCUUGAAUGGGGUCCUCUCGCCCCUGGGCUCCUACCGCGUGCUUAACAAGAUUUUCUUGAGGGAGGAGAACGUGAAGGCUGCCCUUAUCGAGGUUAGCGAGGGUGUGAAUCUGAGCGCCAUACCGCGGGAGUUCCCAGGAAGAGGCGGUGCCUGGAGAGUGGCCUGUAGGGACCCCACCCAGGAUGCCGAGUUUUUGAAAAACCUGAACGAAUUCCUGGAUGCCGAGGGGCGCACAUGGGAGGAUGUGGUCCGCUUGCUGCAGCUUAACCACCCCUCGCCGUCCCAGAACCAGCCUUCGGAGAACUGGGCAGAGACUUUGGGGGUGCUCCUGGGGGCUGUGGUGCAAGUCAUCUUUUACAUGGAUGCGGAGAUCCGCAGUCGGGAGGAAGCUAGGGCUCUGGAGACCGCCGAGGCAGAGGAGGCAGCAGCCUGGGUAUCAGCAGCAGGGAAAAAGGUCAAGAAGGAGCCGGGGCUGGCUGCAGAACUGGGUUCCACCUUGAAGAUGGAGAACCCCCGCCACUGGAAUGCCGUGGAAAACCAGGGUGACCCUCCCAAACCUCUAGUUCGCAGGGCUGGAGCUAAGGCUCGCUCCAGGAGAAAGAAGCAGAAAAAAAAUCUCAAACAGGAACCAGUGCCCUGGAAAAAGCCCAAAGGCAACCGUCCCAGUAGCUCCUCCUACUUGGAGAAUCGCAAUGCCGGGGAGGGGGAAAGCAUGGAGAUCUCCGAGUCUAUCAAGAGCAACAAAAAACCGUGUGUGAAGCAGGAGGAAUCAGCUCUGAAGAAGCCUUUGGCAAAAAGUGCCUGGAAGGUGCCCCGGGAUCCGCCUCAGGAGGCCCCUAGGGAAGUGGAGAGCCCUGCAAGCACCGCUCAGUUAGCUCAAGGUGGUGGUCAGCAAAGGCCCCCAAAGAAGAAGGCCAUGGGCUGGGCCUCCGGAAAGAGCCCUGCCCCCAUGAGGAAGAAGAAGAAGGUGAGCUUGGGCCCAGUCUCUUACGUCCUGGUUGAUUCCGAAGAGGCAAAGAAGAAGCCCAUGAUUGCAAAGAAGGCCUCUGGCUUGAGAAGGGAUGUGUCAGCCCAGAAGGGCCCUAGAGGCCUCCAGCACUCCAGAUCACAAGCCUCAACAUCCAGGGGUCUGAAGGCCAAGCCAGGAGGCUCUCCUCGUGCCUCCAAUGAUUCCAGAAAGCUUUGAAGGGAGACCACCCAUGCCCAUGGAGGUGAAAGAAGACCAAGGAAGAAGUUCCAAGUUAGAAGCAAAGCUUUCUCUUGUCAUUGAGUGAAACGACACUUGGCUCUUUGAGGGACCCAGUUUCUAAAGGUCUGGCUCUCGGAGAGAGGGUCUCACUGAAUUGCUGGCUUCGAACUUGUGAUCCUCUUGCCUCAGCCUCCCAAGCCACAGGGAUUACAGUAUGAUGGUGUUGUUUUAAUGUAAAGAAGUACAGAGAAAAUGAGAAGUGUCCUACUGUCUGUCCACAUCAGCAUUCUGAAAUGGACGGGCUUUCUUCAGGAUCAUGGGUGGCACUGGGGCCACAUCCUCCUCGUCCCCUUCUGGAUGGCCGCCAGGCCCCUCCACCAGGAAGCUGCUACUCUGCCCUUGGAAACCGCUCUCCUUGCUGCUAUGUGACAGGGUCGGUCGUACUGGACUCGUGGCUUUGUUAUUUCAACCAUGUCCUGAGAAUGUCAGCAUCUCUGACGUGGGGAAGGAGUCUCAUCAGCGCUCAGAGAUCUUCCUCUCCACUUUCUUGAGCAGUUAUAGGUGGACACAAUAUUUUAUUUUCACGUGGUGCUGAGGAUGGAACCCAGUGCCUCCCGCAUGCUAGAGACUCUUUUGCUGACAGUCCUAAAAUCAGCCAUGGUGAAGCGGGCUUUUCUGUGGAGAAAGGGGGAGCCACUUCAGGAUCACAGGCGUGCACCACCCCACCUGAUGGAGGAUUCCAGAUUUGAACCUGACUUCCAGGACCUUAGGAAGACACACACGAAGAUAGGAGAAAACCACACACCUUAUUUGAUGGUUUAUCAAUUCGUUGAGCUGGGGAUUGAAAUGUGCCAAGCAGGAGCUCCAUCCCUGAGCCACACCUCCAGCCCAGGAUCUGUUCUAGGACCUGCAGACACAGCCUCAACCGGACAGCCUCCCAGCCUGGCUCAGGUCCCCUGCGGUCACUCCUGGAGUUCCCAGCAUUCCACUUUACUGGAUCUCCCUGCCCAGUGUGGUGGUGCACACCUGAGACUCCAGGAGGCUGAGCGAAAGACGUCCCAGGAAAACUGAGCUCCGUUAGCACGUCGUGGACUCUGCGCAUCAGCUCUUCCUGGGGUCGCAGGCUUGUCCCUGCUGUAAACGGGCAGAGGUGCCCUCCUGGCUGCCUGGCAGAGCUCCUAAGGCCCAGCCGCCCCACUCACCCCAGGGCGCGGCACCCCAGGCCUGGAACAAGGAGCCUCUCAGGAAAUGUUGGUGGAUCAAAUAAAUGAGCCGUUGUGUCGCCUGCUUCUGGAACCAGAAUGUGCGUAAACCCAGGGAUCCACCACGGCGUGCCAAGGACUCAAAAUCCACGGCAAACCGUUUCCAUUGCCAAGUUCACUACAUCUUUUGAAGGAGAAUUCGUCUUUGUACAUAAUGAACACUGUCCGCGUGGAGUGGAGGGUGAACUUUUUUUUUUAAUUUAUUUUAACACUGGGGCCGGAACCCAGGUCCUAGCACAUGCUGGGCAAGCUCUCUGCGCUGAACUACAUACCCCAACCCCUGAGAUAGAUAGAUAGAUAUGGUGGGGUCUGAACUCAGGGACACUCAAUUACUAAGCCACAUCCCAGUCCUUUUUUGUUUUUUAUUUGGAGACAACGUCUCCUUAAUUCGCUUAGGGCCUCACUAACUUUCUGAGGCUGGCCUCCAACUUGCAAUCAUCCUGCUUCAGCCUCGGAAGACUCUGGGGUUACAGGCAUGUGUCACAAUGGCCAGAAAGGUGACUUUUUAAUGACAAAAUAAGGCAUCAGUGGGGCUCCCCGGUAAUCCCAGCAGUUCAAGAGGCUGAAGCAGAAGGGUCGAGAGUUCAAAGCCAGCCUCAGCAACUUAGCGAGACACUUAGCAACUCAGGGAGACCCUGUCUCUAAAUAAAGUACAAAAAAGGGCUGGGGAUGUGGUCUGUGGGCACCGUUGGGUUCAGUCCCCUGUACCUAAAUAAAUGACUAAAGCUUCAAAGAAAUCUCUAUGGAAGAGCUGGUUCCUGAAACCCCCUGGAGGAGAGGGCAAGCCUCCCUUUUCUUCUCUGUGCUGGAGAACGUGAGUAAUGGGUCCACCAGCCCUGUCCAGCUCUGCCUCCAGGGAGGAGCAAGGCCUCUGUGGGUCUCCCCCCGCCCCGGGGAGGAACUCAUCAUGGAAUCGGACCUUUGGUGAUUGUGGGUCAAAAAUAAAAACCCAGAGGGGAUGGCGGGAACAUUAACAAAAUGGCUGGCCUGGGCUGCGGUGGGGCUCAGUGGUGCAGCCCAUGUCUAGCACGCACAGAGCCCGGGUUCCACACUCAGCAACACCAAAGAAAAAUAGAGGCUUCAGGUGGCUGUUAGAGAAGCUUGACACAAAAGCGAAGCCUCCUCCGUGUGCUGGUGACAUGGGCAUCGCCACCAUCAGUCAGUGUUUAAAUUCCUUUAUGAAGAGUUACUCAAGCAUACGGAAGGGUGAGUUAAUAAUAAGAAGGUUACUGAAGGUGUCAAUCAGGCAUCUCACUCCAGUCUGCAAAGCUAAGCGGGAAUGCAGAUACACAAAUCAAGGACGGGGAGCAAUAAGGACUGGCAGGGCCUGUGGAAAACCAGAACAGGAGCUCCAUCUGAAAGGGAGGCAGAGGCUUCUCAGUCCCAACAGGUUUUCUUCAGGUGACAAUGAAGGUCUAUAUGACAGAUCCUCUCUUCCCCCCAUUUUUUUUAAGUGAAGGGAUCUUGGUAUAUUGCCAGGGCUGGCCCCAAAUUCCUAGGCUCAGACAAGUCUUUCUCCGGUCUCAGCCUCCAGGUGGCUGGGACUAGGAGUGUGGGCUCCUUGUCUAGCAGAUUCUCUCGUUUCAAAUAGAAGCCAGAAAUCUGGAGUCCUUUUACGUUUCAUUUUAAAAGUCGGUCACUGACUUAAAGCUUUUGGAAAGCAGAGCUGAACAAAUCAAGCAGAUCUGAGCCCAGUUUCCUGAGGAGAGGGUUCCCAUUCGUGGCCUCUGAGUUAAGCUUUUCCCUCCAACUCUCAGUGGAGUGCCCUGGGACAGGACAGGACGCAAGGUCACUAUCACACUCCCCCCUCCCCCUCAGACUCUGCCCAUUGACAAACCCGCACUGGCCACUUGAUGCAGAUCCUGGAUGGAAGGUCCCCAACAGAGAGGCCACCUGCCUGCCCAGAAGAGCCUCUUCCCUCCUGGUCACUCCCAGAUCCCUCACUGCCCUGCCCUGCCCUAAAGUGGGAACAGGCCCCCUGUCCAGUCUGCUCCCAGGAUGACCCAAAGGAGAAAAACGCAUUGAUGGGAGAAAGUCUUUGAAAUUUGGGAGAGGAAGUUUGUCUUUGGAGGUUAGACCAAUACUGUGCUGCCUCUCCCUGCAGAAGCAACACAUGUGUACAUAUAUGUUCACCAAGAAACACAGGGCACCUCGUCUGUGAAUCCGUCAUAAAAAAAUGCAAAAAUCAAACUGAAUUUAUCUGUGACCUUGAAAGUCAGGGGGCUGGCUACCCUUGAAAGGAUACAGUGACUUGGACAGAGUACAAGACACCCUUCUUGGGAUGCUGAUGGUGUCCAUUUAUGAUUUGGGUGCUAUUCAUGUGUGGGUUUUCAUUUAUAAUCUAUAUGCUCCUCGUUACAGACAUUGUAAUUCAAUGAGUAUUUAAAAAUAAAGUUUCAAAGGAAUGGG
RNA transcript from Marmota monax (woodchuck), 5299 nucleotides. It is a transcript of the gene named PNMA family member 8A, with no coding region annotated. The transcript has 11 exons. The record is from RefSeq and is a predicted model, not a curated record. NCBI's taxonomy places the organism in Eukaryota, Metazoa, Chordata, Mammalia, Rodentia, Sciuridae.